GGCGAUGUAGCUCAGUGGUAGAGUGCCUGUCUAAUAUGUGUGAACCUAGGUUUAAUCCCUAGUACCACCA
This 70-nucleotide transfer RNA is filed under the name Ictidomys tridecemlineatus (thirteen-lined ground squirrel). Its description in RNAcentral is "Spermophilus tridecemlineatus (thirteen-lined ground squirrel) tRNA". It matches the Rfam family "tRNA". From Rfam's summary of the family: Transfer RNA (tRNA) molecules are approximately 80 nucleotides in length. Their secondary structure includes four short double-helical elements and three loops (D, anti-codon, and T loops). Further hydrogen bonds mediate the characteristic L-shaped molecular structure. tRNAs have two regions of fundamental functional importance: the anti-codon, which is responsible for specific mRNA codon recognition, and the 3' end, to which the tRNAs corresponding amino acid is attached (by aminoacyl-tRNA synthetases). tRNAs cope with the degeneracy of the genetic code in two manners: having more than one tRNA (with a specific anti-codon) for a particular amino acid; and 'wobble' base-pairing, i.e. permitting non-standard base-pairing at the 3rd anti-codon position. Lineage: Eukaryota; Metazoa; Chordata; Mammalia; Rodentia; Sciuridae. The record is from Rfam by way of RNAcentral.